Molecule: ribosomal RNA, 2496 nt
Filed under: human gut metagenome
Description: bacterial LSU rRNA
Rfam family: Bacterial large subunit ribosomal RNA
Source: RNAcentral
UUAAGCGACUAAGCGUACACGGUGGAUGCCCUGGCAGUCAGAGGCGAUGAAGGACGUGCUAAUCUGCGAUAAGCGUCGGUGAGGUGAUAUGAACCGUUAUAACCGGCGAUUUCCGAAUGGGGAAACCCAGUGUGUUUCGACACACUAUCAUUAACUGAAUCCAUAGGUUAAUGAGGCGAACCGGGGGAACUGAAACAUCUAAGUACCCCGAGGAAAAGAAAUCAACCGAGAUUCCCCCAGUAGCGGCGAGCGAACGGGGAGGAGCCCAGAGCCUGAAUCAGUGUGUGUGUUAGUGGAAGCGUCUGGAAAGGCGCGCGAUACAGGGUGACAGCCCCGUACACAAAAAUGCACAUAUUGUGAGCUCGAUGAGUAGGGCGGGACACGUGGUAUCCUGUCUGAAUAUGGGGGGACCAUCCUCCAAGGCUAAAUACUCCUGACUGACCGAUAGUGAACCAGUACCGUGAGGGAAAGGCGAAAAGAACCCCGGCGAGGGGAGUGAAAAAGAACCUGAAACCGUGUACGUACAAGCAGUGGGAGCCUCUUAAUGGGGUGACUGCGUACCUUUUGUAUAAUGGGUCAGCGACUUAUAUUCUGUAGCAAGGUUAACCGAAUAGGGGAGCCGAAGGGAAACCGAGUCUUAACUGGGCGUUAAGUUGCAGGGUAUAGACCCGAAACCCGGUGAUCUAGCCAUGGGCAGGUUGAAGGUUGGGUAACACUAACUGGAGGACCGAACCGACUAAUGUUGAAAAAUUAGCGGAUGACUUGUGGCUGGGGGUGAAAGGCCAAUCAAACCGGGAGAUAGCUGGUUCUCCCCGAAAGCUAUUUAGGUAGCGCCUCGUGAAUUCAUCUCCGGGGGUAGAGCACUGUUUCGGCAAGGGGGUCAUCCCGACUUACCAACCCGAUGCAAACUGCGAAUACCGGAGAAUGUUAUCACGGGAGACACACGGCGGGUGCUAACGUCCGUCGUGAAGAGGGAAACAACCCAGACCGCCAGCUAAGGUCCCAAAGUCAUGGUUAAGUGGGAAACGAUGUGGGAAGGCCCAGACAGCCAGGAUGUUGGCUUAGAAGCAGCCAUCAUUUAAAGAAAGCGUAAUAGCUCACUGGUCGAGUCGGCCUGCGCGGAAGAUGUAACGGGGCUAAACCAUGCACCGAAGCUGCGGCAGCGACACUAUGUGUUGUUGGGUAGGGGAGCGUUCUGUAAGCCUGUGAAGGUGUGCUGUGAGGCAUGCUGGAGGUAUCAGAAGUGCGAAUGCUGACAUAAGUAACGAUAAAGCGGGUGAAAAGCCCGCUCGCCGGAAGACCAAGGGUUCCUGUCCAACGUUAAUCGGGGCAGGGUGAGUCGACCCCUAAGGCGAGGCCGAAAGGCGUAGUCGAUGGGAAACAGGUUAAUAUUCCUGUACUUGGUGUUACUGCGAAGGGGGGACGGAGAAGGCUAUGUUGGCCGGGCGACGGUUGUCCCGGUUUAAGCGUGUAGGCUGGUUUUCCAGGCAAAUCCGGAAAACCAAGGCUGAGGCGUGAUGACGAGGCACUACGGUGCUGAAGCGACAAAUGCCCUGCUUCCAGGAAAAGCCUCUAAGCAUCAGGUAACAUCAAAUCGUACCCCAAACCGACACAGGUGGUCAGGUAGAGAAUACCAAGGCGCUUGAGAGAACUCGGGUGAAGGAACUAGGCAAAAUGGUGCCGUAACUUCGGGAGAAGGCACGCUGAUAUGUAGGUGAAGCGACUUGCUCGUGGAGCUGAAAUCAGUCGAAGAUACCAGCUGGCUGCAACUGUUUAUUAAAAACACAGCACUGUGCAAACACGAAAGUGGACGUAUACGGUGUGACGCCUGCCCGGUGCCGGAAGGUUAAUUGAUGGGGUUAGCGGUAACGCGAAGCUCUUGAUCGAAGCCCCGGUAAACGGCGGCCGUAACUAUAACGGUCCUAAGGUAGCGAAAUUCCUUGUCGGGUAAGUUCCGACCUGCACGAAUGGCGUAAUGAUGGCCAGGCUGUCUCCACCCGAGACUCAGUGAAAUUGAACUCGCUGUGAAGAUGCAGUGUACCCGCGGCAAGACGGAAAGACCCCGUGAACCUUUACUAUAGCUUGACACUGAACAUUGAGCCUUGAUGUGUAGGAUAGGUGGGAGGCUUUGAAGUGUGGACGCCAGUCUGCAUGGAGCCGACCUUGAAAUACCACCCUUUAAUGUUUGAUGUUCUAACGUGGGCCCCUAAUCGGGGUUGCGGACAGUGUCUGGUGGGUAGUUUGACUGGGGCGGUCUCCUCCUAAAGAGUAACGGAGGAGCACGAAGGUUGGCUAAUCCUGGUCGGACAUCAGGAGGUUAGUGCAAUGGCAUAAGCCAGCUUGACUGCGAGCGUGACGGCGCGAGCAGGUGCGAAAGCAGGUCAUAGUGAUCCGGUGGUUCUGAAUGGAAGGGCCAUCGCUCAACGGAUAAAAGGUACUCCGGGGAUAACAGGCUGAUACCGCCCAAGAGUUCAUAUCGACGGCGGUGUUUGGCAC